UCGCGGCCCCUUAUCAGCUUGUUGGUGGGGUAAUGGCCUACCAAGGCGACGACGGGUAGCCGGCCUGAGAGGGCGACCGGCCACACUGGGACUGAGACACGGCCCAGACUCCUACGGGAGGCAGCAGUGGGGAAUAUUGCACAAUGGGCGAAAGCCUGAUGCAGCGACGCCGCGUGAGGGAUGACGGCCUUCGGGUUGUAAACCUCUUUCAGCAGGGAAGAAGCGCAAGUGACGGUACCUGCAGAAGAAGCGCCGGCUAACUACGUGCCAGCAGCCGCGGUAAUACGUAGGGCGCAAGCGUUGUCCGGAAUUAUUGGGCGUAAAGAGCUCGUAGGCGGCUUGUCACGUCGGAUGUGAAAGCCCGGGGCUUAACCCCGGGUCUGCAUUCGAUACGGGCUAGCUAGAGUGUGGUAGGGGAGAUCGGAAUUCCUGGUGUAGCGGUGAAAUGCGCAGAUAUCAGGAGGAACACCGGUGGCGAAGGCGGAUCUCUGGGCCAUUACUGACGCUGAGGAGCGAAAGCGUGGGGAGCGAACAGGAUUAGAUACCCUGGUAGUCCACGCCGUAAACGUUGGGAACUAGGUGUUGGCGACAUUCCACGUCGUCGGUGCCGCAGCUAACGCAUUAAGUUCCCCGCCUGGGGGAGUACGGAA
RNAcentral lists this ribosomal RNA (650 nucleotides) under uncultured Streptomyces sp. Its description in RNAcentral is "bacterial SSU rRNA". It matches the Rfam family "Bacterial small subunit ribosomal RNA", at positions 228 to 887 of the family's 1533-position model. The record is from RNAcentral. Lineage: Bacteria; Bacillati; Actinomycetota; Actinomycetes; Kitasatosporales; Streptomycetaceae.